Molecule: long non-coding RNA, 619 nt
Organism: Musa acuminata AAA Group (dessert banana)
Lineage: Eukaryota; Viridiplantae; Streptophyta; Magnoliopsida; Zingiberales; Musaceae
Exons: 2
Source: RefSeq, a predicted model, not a curated record
CUGAGCAAGUCACCACAGAGUUUCUCUCUUGAGCUCUCAGAUUCAUCACAUCUCUUCAACUCUUUCACCAGGUUUUCCAAGCCAUGCUCCAGUGGCACAUGUUUGAGUGCCACCUCCCUUCUGCUGACUGCUCCUGAUAGCCUACUCCUUGAUUCACCAUUGAUCAUAGAGAUGAAUGAUCAUUCAACUAAAAAUCUACCCAAAUUCAUUUGCAGUAAAGCAAACAAAACCCCUGCACUCGAUGCCGGAUCUCUUGAUGCAGGUAUCAAGCCUUCUUAUGUGCAGCAACAUAAGCAGAUUAAUAGUCUUGAAGACUACUGAAGAUCCUGUGAGGUAGAAAUUAGUCAUGUACAUUGCCUCAUCCUGGAAUCUGAAAUGCUAUUUUCAUAAGACAUAAGUGUCAAAAUAGUUCUCCAACCUCAGGUAUUAUAAGAUUUUUGUGCUCAUCUGUAUGCAUGCUCUUGCAUGAUUUCUGACCUAGAUGAUGUCCAAAUCUAGUUGCUUGUUUGGUCUGAUAACUUCCAUUUCUGAUACUGAUUGAAAAGGAUGUUUUUUCAACUGAAGGGAACAGCGCAUGUAUCGGUCUCUGUAUCUUUAUUAAUAUACUGCGAAUUGAUGA